This is a long non-coding RNA of Ictalurus punctatus (channel catfish), 473 nucleotides long. The record is from Ensembl. NCBI's taxonomy places the organism in Eukaryota, Metazoa, Chordata, Actinopteri, Siluriformes, Ictaluridae.
GAGUGAGUGAGAGAGUGUGAGAGAGUGAGUGAGAGAGUGAGAGGAAGUGUGAGAGAGUGUGAGAGUGUGAGAGAGUGAGUGAGAGAGUGUGAGAGAGUGAGAAUGUUUCUUUUCCCCUCUGUGCUGAUGUGACUCGCGUUAGCACGCGUGAGAAGCCUGGAGCAGCGCUCGUGCUCUCAGCUCCUGCCAGACGGCCAGGGGAUUUCCACGCGGCCCAAUGAAGCUCUCUGUACGCGGCACGAGGCGGCCGCUGAGUAACCCUCACUUCACCAUCUUACACUUUACACGCGCGUGUUGGGGAAAUCUCACUAAGUCCACACAACGGCCGCAUUCCUUGCACGCAUUAUAAUAGAAUACACCUGCUGCCUCGCCCCUACACUUCCGCUUGCCCAAGUGUAAUACCAUCUACUGGGUAUGACUGGAGCUGCACCGCUGAAAGACUUCCUUCACCCAGGCUGCACUGUGAAUAAAAA